CUUCUUGAGCGGGAUACGUGUUUCUGCUCUGCAACCAAAGUUUCCCAAAAACUCCUGUGAUGAGGAUGAGGAUGAACAGAAGACCGCCCAACACAAACGUCUCCACGGAGGGCAUAUCUGAACCUGAGGUGUGUGGACUUACAGGUUGGCACAUUCCUCCAGUGUUAUGACAGAUCUGGACGUUGCAGUGAAGGAAAACAUCUGUGUAAGACCUGCCAACAAACUUGAACAUCUGUAUCCUAAAAAAAGCUUCAGAUCCUUGACCGUUCUUCAUCACAGCCAAUGUCUGGUCAUUCCAUAAGACCGGACAACUGAUUUAAAGAGAAAGGUGUAUAAUCAAACUCACCAUCUUCAACCUGAACAGCAGAAGUUAGUGUCCAUAUCGACAGCAGACUCCAGAUCAGCACAGUGACAGGUAUCAUCUUCUCUCCCCAAAUGUUUCCUCCAAAUGGUCUGGAUUAUCAGCUCAGCUAUAGCUGUCAGAGCCAGACGUAGUGUUUUCGGUCUCUCCGGCCCUUCGAUGCGCAGCUCUAAUGAAGUGGGAACCUCCACCAGUUUUGGAGCACAAGCUUGAAUGAUGUUCUCACCAACAAUGAGAUUCCAGACGUGACUGGGGGAGUCCAAGGUAACAACCACCAACUAGAUUUCGAGCAUAAAAAAUACUACCGACGUCCCACUUAGCAGACGAGGUGCUGUACUGUCUCGUGCGUUGGUCGACAAGGAGUUUGUUUGUCAUGCAAAGGGUACGGACGAGCAGGGGUGGUGUCUCGUUUUAUCUGACUCUUUUGUCUGUACAGGUUUUAAAAAGGCCAUGGCAAAAGCUUUACGGUUUCGGGAACCCCAAAGACUCUCUUGAAAAGAAAUCCCGUCACAUUGAGUCAAGGACAGUUCACUUUGCCAUGAUCUAAUUUUUUUAAAGACUGUUUGGAUAGAGAGAGGACAAUAAUUCAACCUGGUGAAGAGAUCUGAAGUAUAAGAUGGAGCUUUUAUUGGAUGAGCUUUCCGGACAUUGAAUCACAUGUCUUUUGUCUUGCAAAUGGCACCAGCUACAAUGCUUUAAAUGGUCUGUUACAACCUUCCACAUACACUAAAAAAACAGAAGAAACCUCGACAGAG
Molecule: long non-coding RNA, 1116 nt
Organism: Paramisgurnus dabryanus
Lineage: Eukaryota; Metazoa; Chordata; Actinopteri; Cypriniformes; Cobitidae
Source: RefSeq, a predicted model, not a curated record